GAUGAACGCUGGCGGCGUGCCUAAUACAUGCAAGUCGAGCGAACGGACGAGAAGCUUGCUUCUCUGAUGUUAGCGGCGGACGGGUGAGUAACACGUGGAUAACCUACCUAUAAGACUGGGAUAACUUCGGGAAACCGGAGCUAAUACCGGAUAAUAUUUUGAACCGCAUGGUUCAUAAGUGAAAGACGGUCUUGCUGUCACUUAUAGAUGGAUCCGCGCUGCAUUAGCUAGUUGGUAAGGUAACGGCUUACCAAGGCAACGAUGCAUAGCCGACCUGGGAGGGGAGUCGGCGACGGUGGGAGAGGAACACGAUCCAGACUCGAACGGGGGGCAGGAGUAGGGAAUCUUCGGAGGUGGGCGAGAGGCAGACGGCGCAACGGGGGGUAGGUGAAUGGGGUCACGGGACGGUAAAGCUCUAUUAUUAGGGAAGAAAAAAUGUGUUAAUAACUGAGGAAUACUACGGGAAACUAAAACAAAAGGCCGCGGCAAUCUACG
RNAcentral lists this ribosomal RNA (495 nucleotides) under uncultured bacterium. RNAcentral's name for it is "partial 16S ribosomal RNA". It matches the Rfam family "Bacterial small subunit ribosomal RNA", at positions 28 to 505 of the family's 1533-position model. The record is from RNAcentral.